This 238-nucleotide ribosomal RNA is filed under the name uncultured bacterium. Its description in RNAcentral is "partial 16S ribosomal RNA". It matches the Rfam family "Bacterial small subunit ribosomal RNA", at positions 15 to 244 of the family's 1533-position model. The record is from RNAcentral.
GAUCCUAGCUCAGGAUGAACGCUAGCUACAGGCUUAACACAUGCAAGUCGAGGGGCAGCAUGGUCUUAGCUUGCUAAGGCCGAUGGCGACCGGCGCACGGGUGAGUAACGCGUAUCCAACCUGCCUUACACUCUUGGACAGCCUUCUGAAAGGGAGAUUAAUACAAGAUGUUACCAUGAGUAAGCAUUUUCGCAUGAUUAAAGGUUUACCGGUGUAAGAUGGGGAUGCGUUCCAUUAG